UACAGAGGGGGCAAGCGUUGUUCGGAAUUACUGGGCGUAAAGGGCGCGUAGGCGGCCUUCUAAGUCGAACGUGAAAUCCCCGGGCUCAACCCGGGAACUGCGUCCGAGACUGGAAGGCUUGAAUCCGGGAGAGGGGUGUGGAAUUCCAGGUGUAGCGGUGAAAUGCGUAGAUAUCUGGAGGAACAUCGGUGGCGAAGGCGGCAUCCUGGACCGGUAUUGACGCUGAGGCGCGAAAGCCAGGGGAGCAAACAGG
This 253-nucleotide ribosomal RNA is filed under the name uncultured bacterium. RNAcentral describes it as "partial 16S ribosomal RNA". It matches the Rfam family "Bacterial small subunit ribosomal RNA", at positions 524 to 776 of the family's 1533-position model. The record is from RNAcentral.